This 217-nucleotide ribosomal RNA is filed under the name uncultured bacterium. RNAcentral's name for it is "partial 16S ribosomal RNA". It matches the Rfam family "Bacterial small subunit ribosomal RNA", at positions 32 to 232 of the family's 1533-position model. The record is from RNAcentral.
AAUCAACGCUGGCGGCGUGCCUAACACAUGCAAGUCGAACGCGAAAGUCCCGCAAGGGAUCAGUAGAGUGGCAAACGGGUGAGUAACACGUGGGUGACCUGCCUUCGAGCGGGGGAUAACGUCCCGAAAGGGACGCUAAUACCGCAUGACAUCCUGCCUUUGAAGAGGCGGAGAUCAAAGCUGGGGAUCGCAAGACCUAGCACUCGGAAGGGGGCCC